RNAcentral lists this ribosomal RNA (254 nucleotides) under uncultured bacterium. Its description in RNAcentral is "partial 16S ribosomal RNA". It matches the Rfam family "Bacterial small subunit ribosomal RNA", at positions 524 to 776 of the family's 1533-position model. The record is from RNAcentral.
UACAGAGGUCUCAACCGUUGUUCGGAUUCAUUGGGCGUAAAGGGUGCGUAGGCGGUCGCGCAAGUCGGAUGUGAAAUCUUGGGGCUCAACCCCGAAACUGCAUUCGAUACUGCGUGGCUCGAGUACUGGAGAGGAGACUGGAAUUUACGGUGUAGCAGUGAAAUGCGUAGAUAUCGUAAGGAAGACCAGUGGCGAAAGCGAGUCUCUGGACAGUUACUGACGCUGAGGCACGAAGGCCAGGGGGAGCAAACGGG